RNAcentral lists this long non-coding RNA (2728 nucleotides) under Brassica rapa (field mustard). Its description in RNAcentral is "long non-coding RNA (BRAP_LNC000186)". The stretch from base 1537 to 2093 matches the Rfam family "MIR824 microRNA precursor family". The record is from RNAcentral. Lineage: Eukaryota; Viridiplantae; Streptophyta; Magnoliopsida; Brassicales; Brassicaceae.
UAGUAUUCAAUCUCCACACUCUCUUCUCUUCAUAGCUCUCGCUCAUAUCUCUCUCUAUCUUUUGCCCUAGCUAACUUGUUUUCUUCCUUCUUUUUCUCAAUCCGCUUCACAUCAAUGCAUCCUCACGAUUCAUGGGCUUUUCGGAUUAAGUUUUCUCUGGGAUCUCGAAGAAUUGCCAUUUUUUUAAAUAUGUUAAAGCAGACGAGUCGCUUCGAUUACUUCAUUUGGUUAGUCUGAUUCUGUUUAUAUAGUUUCUUAACUUGCAAUUUGUUUUAUGAAAUGUUUUGUGUUGUUUGUUAGAUCUCUCCAUAUUUAUAUAUUAGUUUGCGAAGUCAGAUGUUUGCAUGUACAGAUUAAUGCUCAUGGAUGAGAGGUUUGUCAACCUUUAAUGGAUCUGUCUCCCCUUCUCAGGUUUGGUUUCUCAUCUCCAUUUUUAUUUGUUAGAUGUGUGUUAUAUAGAAUGUCUCAGCCUUGAUCGUACUUCUGUUGUGUUUUUUCUUUUGUUACUUCCGUUAAGAUGCGUACCGUGUAAAAUAAAAAGCACAUAAUAAUGCAAGAUCCCUUGUCUUUCUGCAAGUAUUGUCUGAUUGUCUAAUUACUUAGUGUCUAUGUUCCUUUCACUAAUGAACAGCUUAAUAGUGGUUAAUUAUGCGCAUAAAAUAAAAGCAAAUUAUUUUGUCUCUUGACCAGAGAAACUGAUCAAAACUUAAAUCACAGAUAUGAAACUGACUAUCAUGAUGUGGUUUUCGAUUCAUUUUCUCGCAUCUUUUUUUUUAUGUAUACCUAAAAAGAGUUUGAAAGCUUCAUUAGAUUCUCACUUUAAUGUUAAAAAGGUGUCUGUACCUAAAUUACAUCAUAUGUACGAAGUACGAACACAUCAUUUUUUUUUUCUUCUUUUUUGCAAAUUAGCAUUGCAUCACCCACUACCACUAGAGUUCUGAUGUUUUUUUUUUCUGAUUGUAAUGCUCUUUUUUCUGACUUCAUGGCCUGCACUAAGUUGAAUUCUCACUAUGUCUCUAUUUGGAAGCUAUUUUCAGAAUUAAAGCUUGAUCUUUGUGUUCCUUGUCAAUAAACGUUGAUUUCUGAAUAAUAUAUUUUAGACAACUAUAUCUAUGAUAAGUUAAUAGUCCAAAGCAAUCCAGAAAAGCUCAAGGGUGAUAGUUGAAAACACCUUAGGAAACAUUCGUGUUCAUAAGACUUUACAUGUGCAAAAAUAAAUUGUUACUUCUUUGAGAAAGCAGUGGCUUGAGUAGAAACUCCAUUAAGUUUGUAAUUAGUUUGGGUUCUUAGAUUAAAAAGGAAGUGAAUGGAGCUUGUUACACUGAAAAGAAACUAAGAAUUCUGUGGAUUAGAGACGAGCAAUACAAUUUUGUGCAUAAUUCAGGUUUAUGUCCACAUAUCUUUGUAACAUGAAUUUGAAUCUAAAAAUUCAUCUGCGUUUGUGUAUGCAGAGUGGUAAACUGCUGAGUUGAGAUACUGAUGAUGGUUUUACAAUGGGGCUGCCGUGGUUAACUAAACCAGCGACUAACAGGUUCGCUCGAGUUGUCUCUCAUGUCUAGACCAUUUGUGAGAAGGGAUUUUCUGUUUGCAUCAUUCACUCCCACCAAUUUCUAAGUAUGCAAUAAGUAUUAUUCUCAGUUAAGAAAAAAACAAUCCUAUUAUUUGAGAUGCUUCUACAGCUUGAAAUAUGUUGUUUCGUUCUUUAUAUGGCUACCAAAACGUUAAGAAACCAGGUGAACAUUUCCCUAAAAAGGUCUAGCCUGUAGGUCAUAGUCAUUAGAGCCACCUCUCACUUCUCGAUUAAAAGGUGUUAUUUCUUCCAUCAAAAUCUGAUCCUUGAGGAGUUAGGUACAUAAGUAAGUACACAGAGUGAACACAUAACUUGAUAAUGUCAUUUACACUUUGGACAUUUUCCCAAGAGAUGCCAAAUUCUCAAUGGAUUUUGAGUUUUUCAAUGAUAGCUAAAAUUUGUAUCUAGCACUACUUAUAGCUACACUAGUAUACUUGAUAAUAUUUGGGGGAGUGGGGGAGAUGCUGUGUUAUUAUUCCCUUCUCAUCGAUGGUCUAGAUGUGUGAGGUGACUCUCAUGGAGGUAAAGAGAAAUGGUGAUUUAUAGGAAAGCAUCCACCACAAUGGUAUUAUCCUAAAAGGGUUAGAAAAUUUUCUUGUUGAAUUAUUGUUUUGUAUUGCUAGAUUUUGGACCAGUGGUCUGCUAAUGCAACACAUGUGAUACUUUCGAGUAUAGUUGUGUAAGCUUUAUUUUUCAGGUUUGAGUACAACAGCAUGCCAUUAUUAAUCAACGAUGGAUGCAGAAGCAGUUACUAAAAAAUCAGAAAACAGAAAAAGUCGAAGUGUUUUAAACGAUGAAAGAGCAAAGUGAACGAAAGGUGUACCUUUUUUACUAUAUUCUCUCUCGUUCAUCCAUUUCAUGCUGCAACCGAAAAGACCAAAGGGAAUGGAAUGGGUGUGUUUUAAUUACAUGACUUAACGCCAAGUAUUUAGAGAUUGCUUGUAAAUUCAUAAGUACUAUAUACAAAUACUCGGUAGAUUUUAACUCCCGAAUGAAAGACUUUGUAUCUAUCUUCUUAUCCAUAAGUACUAAAUGGAUUUAUAUAAUAUCAAUACUAUUAAAACAGAAGACCUUUUUUUGAGGUGACCUCCUGUUUCAGCAGUAUUUACAAAAUCAUGCCACUGGCUUAAUUAAAACCAAUGUUUUUAUUUAAUUCUG